Molecule: ribosomal RNA, 497 nt
Filed under: uncultured bacterium
Lineage: Bacteria
Description: partial 16S ribosomal RNA
Rfam family: Bacterial small subunit ribosomal RNA
Source: RNAcentral
GAUGAACGCUGGCGGCGUGCCUAAUACAUGCAAGUCGAGCGAACAGACGAGGAGCUUGCUCCUCUGACGUUAGCGGCGGACGGGUGAGUAACACGUGGAUAACCUACCUAUAAGACUGGGAUAACUUCGGGAAACCGGAGCUAAUACCGGAUAAUAUAUUGAACCGCAUGGUUCAAUAGUGAAAGACGGUUUUGCUGUCACUUAUAGAUGGAUCCGCGCCGCAUUAGCUAGUUGGUAAGGUAACGGCUUACCAAGGCGACGAUGCGUAGCCGACCUGAGAGGGUGCUCGGCCACACUGGAACUGAGACACGGUCCAGACUCCUACGGGAGGCAGCAGUAGGGAAUCUUCCGCAAUGGGCGAAAGCCUGACGGAGCAACGCCGCGUGAGUGAUGAAGGUCUUCUGAUCGUAAAACUCUGUUAUUAGGGAAGAACAAAUGUGUAAGUAACUAUGCACGUCUUGACGGUACCUAAUCAGAAAGCCACGGCUAACUACGUG